UGGUCUGUUCACUUUGAUGCCAUUUUCAACCUUACCAAAUUUUGGUAAAGUUGUCAAAAAGUGGCUACAUUUAGUUUGCUGCCAAAUUUUUGUAACUAUAUAAGAAAUCCUACCAAAAUUUUGACAAGUUGUCAAAAUUUUGGCAACUAUGCCAAAAUUUUGAAAUGCCAAAAUUUGGUAAGGUUUUUUUUAUCAAAGUGAACAGGCCCCUUAUAUAGUUACCAAAAUUUGGCAGCAAACUAAAUGUAGCCAUUUUUUUUGACAACUUUAUCAAAAUUUAGUAAGAUUGAAAAUGACAUCAAAGUAAACAGGCCC
RNAcentral lists this unclassified non-coding RNA (315 nucleotides) under Oryza sativa (Asian cultivated rice). RNAcentral's name for it is "partial microRNA MIR480a precursor". The record is from RNAcentral. Lineage: Eukaryota; Viridiplantae; Streptophyta; Magnoliopsida; Poales; Poaceae.